Molecule: ribosomal RNA, 275 nt
Filed under: uncultured bacterium
Lineage: Bacteria
Description: partial 16S ribosomal RNA
Rfam family: Bacterial small subunit ribosomal RNA
Source: RNAcentral
GAAUGCCUACGGGGGGAGCAGUAGGGAAUUUUCGUCAAUGGGCGCAAGCCUGAACGAGCAAUGCCGCGUGAACGAGGAAGGUCUUCGGGUCGUAAAGGUCUGUUGAAGGGGAAAAAGAGCGGAGAGAGGAAAUGGUCUCCGAUUGAUAUUACCCUUCGAGGAAGUCACGGCUAACUACGUGCCAGCAGCCGCGGUAAUACGUAGGUGGCGAGCGUUAUCCGGAAUGAUUGGGCGUAAAGGGUGCGUAGGCUGCCUGCUAAGUCUGGAGUGAAAGG